RNAcentral lists this ribosomal RNA (164 nucleotides) under Anthosachne rectiseta. RNAcentral describes it as "5.8S ribosomal RNA". It matches the Rfam family "5.8S ribosomal RNA". From Rfam's summary of the family: 5.8S ribosomal RNA (5.8S rRNA) is a component of the large subunit of the eukaryotic ribosome. It is transcribed by RNA polymerase I as part of the 45S precursor that also contains 18S and 28S rRNA. Lineage: Eukaryota; Viridiplantae; Streptophyta; Magnoliopsida; Poales; Poaceae. The record is from RNAcentral.
CACACGACUCUCGGCAACGGAUAUCUCGGCUCUCGCAUCGAUGAAGAACGUAGCGAAAUGCGAUACCUGGUGUGAAUUGCAGAAUCCCGCGAACCAUCGAGUCUUCGAACGCAAGUUGCGCCCGAGGCCACUCGGCCGAGGGCACGCCUGCCUGGGCGUCACGC